UAUAGGGUUCUCCACAAGAUUAAUAUAUGGAUUUUCUGAAACUAAAUUAAGGUUGAGGAUUUGAAUUACUGUAUUGUGUCUAUAAAAAAAAACUAAUGUUAAAUAGCAUUACAAAAUCACUUCAGCAAAAAAAUUUGCCAAACAGCUUUCUAAAAUCACUUCAGCACAAUCACUUUUCUAUCAGACUCAGCCAAACGCUCUACAGCUUUUAACAAAAAUUACUUCUCCAAACCAAAAUCACUUUUUCAUAAAUUACUUUUUCAGAAGCUAGGCCAAACAG
RNAcentral lists this long non-coding RNA (280 nucleotides) under Ananas comosus (pineapple). RNAcentral describes it as "long non-coding RNA (ACOM_LNC031862)". The record is from RNAcentral. Lineage: Eukaryota; Viridiplantae; Streptophyta; Magnoliopsida; Poales; Bromeliaceae.